AUGGUGAACUUACUCACCAAGCAGCAGCGAGCUCUGGUCAUGGCUACCCAGCUCUCCUCCCUCGCUGCAUCCACAGGCAUUUCCGUAGUCUCAGGUCUCGCAAUAGCACUGCUGGUGAACACCCUCUAUAUCCUCGACACCGCCGGAUCAUUGGCCGUCUUAUGCAUCAAAGAGUUUACCCAUAGAGCCCCUCACCGGCGGGCGCUCAUCGGGACUUAUUCGCUCCUGAACACCACCAUCAGGCUCGUCUAUCCUGGGCACAGUGAGAUCUUAACUGCCGACCCUGCCAUCAUUGAGCAUGUCCUCAAGACAAACUUUAACGGGGAGAAGUCACGAUACCGGAGGAAGCUGGCAAGAUAUCCCUACGAAGACUAG
This 375-nucleotide ribosomal RNA is filed under the name Triticum aestivum (bread wheat). RNAcentral describes it as "partial small subunit ribosomal RNA". The record is from RNAcentral. Lineage: Eukaryota; Viridiplantae; Streptophyta; Magnoliopsida; Poales; Poaceae.